This 2789-nucleotide ribosomal RNA is filed under the name Escherichia coli. RNAcentral's name for it is "bacterial LSU rRNA". It matches the Rfam family "Bacterial large subunit ribosomal RNA". Lineage: Bacteria; Pseudomonadati; Pseudomonadota; Gammaproteobacteria; Enterobacterales; Enterobacteriaceae. The record is from RNAcentral.
AGCGUACACGGUGGAUGCCCUGGCAGUCAGAGGCGAUGAAGGACGUGCUAAUCUGCGAUAAGCGUCGGUAAGGUGAUAUGAACCGUUAUAACCGGCGAUUUCCGAAUGGGGAAACCCAGUGUGAUUCGUCACACUAUCAUUAACUGAAUCCAUAGGUUAAUGAGGCGAACCGGGGGAACUGAAACAUCUAAGUACCCCGAGGAAAAGAAAUCAACCGAGAUUCCCCCAGUAGCGGCGAGCGAACGGGGAGCAGCCCAGAGCCUGAAUCAGUGUGUGUGUUAGUGGAAGCGUCUGGAAAGGCGCGCGAUACAGGGUGACAGCCCCGUACACAAAAAUGCACAUGCUGUGAGCUCGAUGAGUAGGGCGGGACACGUGGUAUCCUGUCUGAAUAUGGGGGGACCAUCCUCCAAGGCUAAAUACUCCUGACUGACCGAUAGUGAACCAGUACCGUGAGGGAAAGGCGAAAAGAACCCCGGCGAGGGGAGUGAAAAAGAACCUGAAACCGUGUACGUACAAGCAGUGGGAGCACAGAGCAAUCUGUGUGACUGCGUACCUUUUGUAUAAUGGGUCAGCGACUUAUAUUCUGUAGCAAGGUUAACCGAAUAGGGGAGCCGAAGGGAAACCGAGUCUUAACUGGGCGUUAAGUUGCAGGGUAUAGACCCGAAACCCGGUGAUCUAGCCAUGGGCAGGUUGAAGGUUGGGUAACACUAACUGGAGGACCGAACCGACUAAUGUUGAAAAAUUAGCGGAUGACUUGUGGCUGGGGGUGAAAGGCCAAUCAAACCGGGAGAUAGCUGGUUCUCCCCGAAAGCUAUUUAGGUAGCGCCUCGUGAAUUCAUCUCCGGGGGUAGAGCACUGUUUCGGCAAGGGGGUCAUCCCGACUUACCAACCCGAUGCAAACUGCGAAUACCGGAGAAUGUUAUCACGGGAGACACACGGCGGGUGCUAACGUCCGUCGUGAAGAGGGAAACAACCCAGACCGCCAGCUAAGGUCCCAAAGUCAUGGUUAAGUGGGAAACGAUGUGGGAAGGCCCAGACAGCCAGGAUGUUGGCUUAGAAGCAGCCAUCAUUUAAAGAAAGCGUAAUAGCUCACUGGUCGAGUCGGCCUGCGCGGAAGAUGUAACGGGGCUAAACCAUGCACCGAAGCUGCGGCAGCGACGCUUAUGCGUUGUUGGGUAGGGGAGCGUUCUGUAAGCCUGUGAAGGUGUACUGUGAGGUAUGCUGGAGGUAUCAGAAGUGCGAAUGCUGACAUAAGUAACGAUAAAGCGGGUGAAAAGCCCGCUCGCCGGAAGACCAAGGGUUCCUGUCCAACGUUAAUCGGGGCAGGGUGAGUCGACCCCUAAGGCGAGGCCGAAAGGCGUAGUCGAUGGGAAACAGGUUAAUAUUCCUGUACUUGGUGUUACUGCGAAGGGGGGACGGAGAAGGCUAUGUUGGCCGGGCGACGGUUGUCCCGGUUUAAGCGUGUAGGCUGGUUUUCCAGGCAAAUCCGGAAAAUCAAGGCUGAGGCGUGAUGACGAGGCACUACGGUGCUGAAGCAACAAAUGCCCUGCUUCCAGGAAAAGCCUCUAAGCAUCAGGUAACAUCAAAUCGUACCCCAAACCGACACAGGUGGUCAGGUAGAGAAUACCAAGGCGCUUGAGAGAACUCGGGUGAAGGAACUAGGCAAAAUGGUGCCGUAACUUCGGGAGAAGGCACGCUGAUAUGUAGGUGAAGUCCCUCGCGGAUGGAGCUGAAAUCAGUCGAAGAUACCAGCUGGCUGCAACUGUUUAUUAAAAACACAGCACUGUGCAAACACGAAAGUGGACGUAUACGGUGUGACGCCUGCCCGGUGCCGGAAGGUUAAUUGAUGGGGUCAGCGCAAGCGAAGCUCUUGAUCGAAGCCCCGGUAAACGGCGGCCGUAACUAUAACGGUCCUAAGGUAGCGAAAUUCCUUGUCGGGUAAGUUCCGACCUGCACGAAUGGCGUAAUGAUGGCCAGGCUGUCUCCACCCGAGACUCAGUGAAAUUGAACUCGCUGUGAAGAUGCAGUGUACCCGCGGCAAGACGGAAAGACCCCGUGAACCUUUACUAUAGCUUGACACUGAACAUUGAGCCUUGAUGUGUAGGAUAGGUGGGAGGCUUUGAAGUGUGGACGCCAGUCUGCAUGGAGCCGACCUUGAAAUACCACCCUUUAAUGUUUGAUGUUCUAACGUUGACCCGUGAUCCGGGUUGCGGACAGUGUCUGGUGGGUAGUUUGACUGGGGCGGUCUCCUCCUAAAGAGUAACGGAGGAGCACGAAGGUUGGCUAAUCCUGGUCGGACAUCAGGAGGUUAGUGCAAUGGCAUAAGCCAGCUUGACUGCGAGCGUGACGGCGCGAGCAGGUGCGAAAGCAGGUCAUAGUGAUCCGGUGGUUCUGAAUGGAAGGGCCAUCGCUCAACGGAUAAAAGGUACUCCGGGGAUAACAGGCUGAUACCGCCCAAGAGUUCAUAUCGACGGCGGUGUUUGGCACCUCGAUGUCGGCUCAUCACAUCCUGGGGCUGAAGUAGGUCCCAAGGGUAUGGCUGUUCGCCAUUUAAAGUGGUACGCGAGCUGGGUUUAGAACGUCGUGAGACAGUUCGGUCCCUAUCUGCCGUGGGCGCUGGAGAACUGAGGGGGGCUGCUCCUAGUACGAGAGGACCGGAGUGGACGCAUCACUGGUGUUCGGGUUGUCAUGCCAAUGGCACUGCCCGGUAGCUAAAUGCGGAAGAGAUAAGUGCUGAAAGCAUCUAAGCACGAAACUUGCCCCGAGAUGAGUUCUCCCUGACUCCUUGA